ACGCUGGCGGCACGCCUAACACAUGCAAGUCGAACGAAGUAGCAAUACUUAGUGGCAGACGGGUGAGUAACAUGUAGGUAUCUACCCUUUGGCCUGGAAUAACACGAGGAAACUUGUGCUAAUACCGGAUAAGUCUUUACGGAGAAAGCUUUAUGCACCAUUGGAUGAGCCUGCACUUGAUUAGUUUGUUGGUGGGGUAAUGGCCUACCAAGACUGUGAUCAAUAGCUGAUUUGAGAGGAUGAUCAGCCACAUUGGGACUGAGACACGGCCCAAACUCCUACGGGAGGCAGCAGUGGGGAAUCUUGCACAAUGGAGGAAACUCUGAUGCAGCGAUGCCGCGUGAGUGAAGAAGGCCCUUGGGUUGUAAAGCUCUUUCGUCGGGGAAGAAAAUGACUGUACCCGAAUAAGAAGGUCCGGCUAACUUCGUGCCAGCAGCCGCGGUAAUACGAAGGGACCUAGCGUAGUUCGGAAUUACUGGGCUUAAAGAGUUCGUAGGUGGUUGAAAAAGUUAGUGGUGAAAUCCCAGAGCUUAACUCUGGAACUGCCAUUAAAACUUUUCAGCUAGAGUAUGAUAGAGGAAAGCAGAAUUUCUAGUGUAGAGGUGAAAUUCGUAGAUAUUAGAAAGAAUACCAAUUGCGAAGGCAGCUUUCUGGAUCAUUACUGACACUGAGGAACGAAAGCAUGGGUAGCGAAGAGGAUUAGAUACCCUCGUAGUCCAUGCCGUAAACGAUGUGUGUUAGACGUUGGAAAUUUAUUUUCAGUGUCGCAGCGAAAGCGAUAAACACACCGCCUGGGGAGUACGACCGCAAGGUUAAAACUCAAAUGAAUUGACGGGGACCCGCACAAGUAGUGGAGCAUGUGGUUUAAUUCGAAGAUACGCGCAGAACCUUACCAACACUUGACAUGUUCGUCGCGACUCUAAGAGAUUAGAGUUUUCGGUUCGGCCGGACGAAACACAGGUGCUGCAUGGCUGUCGUCAGCUCGUGUCGUGAGAUGUUGGGUUAAGUCCCGCAACGAGCGCAACCCUCAUUUUUAGUUGCCAUCAUUAAGUUGGGCACUCUGAAAGAACUGCCAGUGAUAAGCUGGAGGAAGGUGGGGAUGACGUCAAGUCCUCAUGGCCCUUACGUGUUGGGCUACACACGUGCUACAAUGGUAUCUACAAAAGGAAGCAAGACUGCGAGGUCAAGCAAAUCCUUAAAAGAUACCUCAGUUCGGAUUGCACUCUGCAACUCGAGUGCAUGAAGCUGGAAUUACUAGUAAUCGUGGAUCAGCGUGCCACGGUGAAUGCGUUCCCGGGUCUUGUACACACCGCCCGUCACACCAUGGGAGUUGGUUCUACCUUAAGGCAAGGUUUAAAAUCCUUGACCACGGUAUAGUCAGCGACUGGGGU
RNAcentral lists this ribosomal RNA (1391 nucleotides) under uncultured bacterium. Its description in RNAcentral is "16S ribosomal RNA". It matches the Rfam family "Bacterial small subunit ribosomal RNA". The record is from RNAcentral.